GAUGACACCGCACUUGGGCUAUCAAACUGUACUUUUUUUCUUCCUCCCACCACUCUUAAGGAGACAGCUGGGAAAUCAUCUCUGCUGGAGAACUCUUCAGACUAUGCAGAGAUUCUGUCUCUAUCCUGGAUGGUAAUCAAUGAAAAAGGAAGAGAAACACUCGUACGAAGCCCUUCGCCUACAAAGUCCACAGGGAGAUGGCCUGUGAUCAACAGCGCGGAAGUGAGCUAAGAGGUCCUGAAGGAGCACAACUGUACCCUUUUCAUAGUGCAAAUUCUGAACCAGUUCAAAGAGAAGGUGUAGAAGCAAGGCAGACAGGGAUAACAACACUACCUGCAUCACUGAAAAUCCUUGGAAAUGCAAAACGGUUCAUGCCUGUGGGUCAACAGGCAGAGCCUCCAAACCAUGCCAUGCCUACAAGACCCAAUACAGGUGACAGUUCCCGAGAGAAUGGCUAAUAUGCCACCUCUGCCUCCCAAGUACUGGGGUUACAGGCAGCCAUCAGCACACCAGUUAAUAUGUUGCUAGAGAUUGGCCAAGGUCUCAUGUACAUAGGCAAGUACUAGACCAAGUAAACUACAUCCUGACACCCUGCUCGUCUGGAGACAUAUCUCACUAUGGAACCCAGGUUGGCCUUAAAUUUGUGGUUCACCUGCAUCUGCCGCUCAAAAGCUGGGGUUACCGGCCUCUGCCACCUCAGUUUACAACAGGAAAUUUGAAGAUAGAAAAUCAUUCUAGGGGGUAGUAAAGUGUUUUUGGUACAAGAAUGGAUAGCAGAACCCAUGUAAAUGUCAAGUGGAGUGACACAUACCCACCAUCCUGGUGUUGCGUAAGCAGAGACUGGACUAUCUCUGGAGUUCAUUGUCCAUCCAGUCAAACUGAAUCCAUGAGUUCCAAGUUCAAUGAGAAACCUUACCUCAAAAAGUCAGGUGGGGAGCAACAGAGGAAGACGUUCAACAUUGACUUCUGAUUUCCGCACAAUAUGAUUCUGACUAUAUAAUACCCAUAAAAUUACUAGAAUGGACUGAAUUCUAAUUCUAUUUUUCCUUAGGUACCAGCUCUCUCACUUUGGGAUAGUUGAUAAUUUCACUGAUAAAUGGGCAUUAUAUUUAAAUCAGAAGGUAUGCAUGGCAUUUAAAAAGCUGGUAGAGAAAUUUCUUAACACAUGACUAAUACUAGGUAUUCUCUAGUUUCCUCUACUUCUCUUGGUGCUAUUCACUUUACACACACACACACACACACACACACACACAUGCACAUGCAUGCACACAAUAUAUAUGUGUAUAUAUAUGUGUUGUAUAUAUGUGUAUAUAUAUAUAUAUCCACAACAUAUAUGGAUAUAUAUCCAAGCAAAUAUAUAUGUAUACAUUAAAAUGAAUAUAUUUAAAUGUAUAUGUGUUAUAAUAAAUUUAUAUUCAAGAUGAAUAUAUAUGUGUAUAUAUACAAGUAUAUGUAUGUAUAUAUAUUUAUAUAAAAGAGGACAUGAAGCUAGAAGAAAUGUGGGGUUGGGGUACCAGGGGAAGUUGAAAGAAGGUAGGUAGUGGAUGAAUAUGGUAAAUAUACAUUGUAUAACUUUCAAAUAAUAAAAAUUAUUAUUUAAAAA
This is a long non-coding RNA of Rattus norvegicus (Norway rat), 1603 nucleotides long. RefSeq lists it as uncharacterized. Lineage: Eukaryota; Metazoa; Chordata; Mammalia; Rodentia; Muridae. The record is from RefSeq and is a predicted model, not a curated record.